RNAcentral lists this long non-coding RNA (1215 nucleotides) under Carassius auratus (goldfish). RNAcentral describes it as "lncRNA (ENSCARG00000057486.1)". Lineage: Eukaryota; Metazoa; Chordata; Actinopteri; Cypriniformes; Cyprinidae. The record is from RNAcentral.
UGAUGCUCUUUCAUUCAUCUCAGUUCAGACUGGACACCAUCUUCAGAGUGAGGAAUGAAACUGCAGUGACUCCAAACUCAGAUGAUCUGAAUGAAGUGACUCUCCAUCGUUCAGGAUCUUCAGGUGAGUCGAAGCUGAUCUCUCCUAACAUGAUUCUUCUUACAUUUUAUACUAGUUCACAAAGUCAUCACUCACAAUUUCAUUAAUUAAUAUUAUAAAAUAUAAUAUAAUAUAAUGUAUUGAAUAUAAAAUAAUCAGAUUGUGUUUUCAGGUGUUUUCAGAGGGUAUAGCAGUCCAUCGGUCAGCGUGAAGCUCCAGACAACAGGUGAGUGAAUCAAACUGAUAAAUGAACUGAUUCACUGAAUCACAUGAUGAUUUAAAAGCUGAAUCAGACAAAUGAUGUGUGUGUUUCUCACAGGGAUCUGGGAACGGUCUGAUCUGAUGAUCCUCAUUGCAGAUAUGUUCACUGAAUAUAAACCUAAAAGAGCACUCAGAUCACUAGGAUGGAGUCAGUUAGAAAUACCAAGGGUUCACACAAAACGAGCUGAUGUUUAACCUCAGUGAGAAGGAUGUAGCUGCUGGAGGAAGACUCCGCCCCUUACACCCCGGACCGAAGAAGACUCCGCCCCUUACCUGGACCCUUCCUUCCUGAACACUGCCCCACUACGAACACCAGAAGGACAUCAGAUCCCCUGUUAAAUUUGGACACUUAUACCCUUUAGAUACUUUAUUCUCUGUGUUUUGUUUUUUUUCUAUUAAUAAAAGCCUCUUUUUCCAUGUCUCAGAGGCCUGACACUACCCCCACUGUGUCUGUCGUUUACUCCUCCUGCCACUAUAUAUAUAUAUAUAUAUAUAUAUAUAUAUAUAUUCUUUAACAAUUAUUUCCUUUAACAUUAAAUGUUUAGUACCGUGUGCUGGAAUGAGAGAGAGGAUACAGGGCAGGUUAUUUGAAAAACUGUGAUUGAUGAGGGUCAUAAAAGACAUCUGUUUUCACACCUGUUUUAAUCAUAGACAGUAAAAGAAAUGGAGACAGUGAUUCAACGGAGACAAGUGAAGUCAAUUAGAAGCAGCACUUCCUGGGGGUCGAGCGUACUGAGCUUGAUGACGUAGAUGUCACGUGAGCAACCUGUACGUCUUCUAAUCGCUGUGCGAAGAGGAAUCUGAAUCACCCUCCGAAUCUUGCAGAGAAGGGGCGCGUGAACAGGAGCAAAUGUU